UUCUGCUCCGUGCAGCUGUGCCUCAGGGCAGGACAGCGGGACACCGGGCUGGAAUCCUACAUUGCAGAAUGCAGUGAUUGGAGGGGACCUCUGGGGCUCCACCAGCCCAGCCCCCCCACUCAGAGCAGGUUCCUGCAGUGCGGUACUCAGGGAAAUGCUAUUCUGUGAGGUCCGCUUUUCACCAGAGGAAAAGGAGCUGUGCCUUACACGAUGAUGUCAGCCCACAGCAGCAGUGUGCCUGCAGGGAGCGCGCAUGGGAAGGAAUGGGGGAGCAGAGCUGGAGCCACAGAGUGCCGUCCUUAUCUUCCUGUGAGGGGCUGAGAUGAAGCCUCAGCUCCCAGAAAAGAUGGCACAGCCUGUAUUGAAGGAAAAGAUGCCUGAGGUUUCCCCUGAGGCUGCAAGGCCCAGCACAGAGAGUGGGAGGUGACAAGCCAUUGGUUUGGCUCUUCCCUGCAGCCCAAAGACAGCAUCUGUGCUGGUCCCCUCAGAGCUCUUUGCUUGGUCCCCUCAGUGCUUGGAAUCCAGGUGAUGAAAAAGAGUAACAUCACUGUGACGUUUCCAUGUAUUGAGACAGGAAUGCAGAACUUCCAUCACCGGGUCAAGAAAUUCACACACGUUGAAGUGGGCUGGAAAAAAAGCACUCAGGGUGGUGUAGGACCAGAGCUGAGACAGACACUGCUUCACCUCUUAACACCUCGGUGGGGGGAUGUGGUCCUCCCCCAGAAGGGUGAGAAACAACGGGUGAACAGAGGCUGCUGCAGAGACCUGUGAAGGAACCCAACUUCCUGUCCUUCAGGAACUUAACCCUUAGCAUUCCCUCAUCCUGGGUUUGUUUGCGAGUCAGAAAUGGGGGAAGAUUUUGGUAAUUUCAGUAUUACCAACAGUUUGUUAAAAGACUAAUUGCCAAGUAGCUUAUGCAUGUGGGACCAUUAGUAAUUCUGUAGCUAUGCAAAUUAAAACAGUGAUGUAUGAUUUAUAGCUUUAAUAAUGUUCUGAAGGCUCUUAAAUUUUAAUCACUUGCAACAUCCUUUUUAAUAUUCAAUUACUUUAUUAACUAAUUAGGUCACUUGCUGAAAAAGCACAUAAGGCUGGUGCUAUUUUAAUAUCAGCUGAAUAUCACAAAAUACCUUUGAAAUGGUGUAAAUGGUUUAUUUAUUUUAAAUAGAUCAUUAAGAUGCUGCAAUUAAUAAAUCAAUUACAGAAGAGAAGGGAAAAAAAGACAAGAAAUUGAUAGAUGGCAACCCACAACAGCAGUUCUGUACUUCCUAAAUGUUCACAGGGAUGCUGAACUCAGGGAAUGUACCUUCCUAGACAAUUUGUAUUCAGCUGAAGGGAUAAGGUUCAAGAUAUGCUUGGUUCAUUAUAGAUGCUUUUUUGUAUGAAUUUAGCUUUCUGAUUGAUAAAAGCUUUGCAAUGACCUUGAAAAGUAAAAGUAUUUAAAAGGACAGCCCUCCAUUAUGGUUUGCUCUUUUGUCCAUCUCAGAAAGAUAAAACCAUAACAUCUUAUUGCUGCUAAUUCUGGGGUGAAGGGCAGAGCUCCUGGGGGAGGG
Gallus gallus (chicken) is the source of this 1550-nucleotide long non-coding RNA. The record is from Ensembl. Lineage: Eukaryota; Metazoa; Chordata; Aves; Galliformes; Phasianidae.